This 876-nucleotide long non-coding RNA is filed under the name Cricetulus griseus (Chinese hamster). RNAcentral describes it as "lncRNA (ENSCGRG00000025534.1)". The record is from RNAcentral. Lineage: Eukaryota; Metazoa; Chordata; Mammalia; Rodentia; Cricetidae.
AUGCAAAUCCCAGCCUGAAGUGGAGAGGCUUAAACCUCAGAAGGAGAUAGUCCAUCAGACCCUGAUUCUAGACCCAGCACAGAGGAGCAGGCUUCAGCAGCAGAUGCAGCAGCAUGUUCAGCUCUUGACACAAGUCUACCUUCUCACCACCUCCAACCCCAAUCUGAGCUCCGAGGCCAGCACCACCAGAGUAUUUCUGGUAAGAUUCCAUGCAUCCGUAACUCCGAAGACUUAAGUUUGACAUUGGCUUGACAAGUGGUUUCUCACUGUUAAUGUUAUUCACUGAUUAUAAUCUAUAUUUCAUCUUCUCUACUGGAUGUGUUUGGUCACUGUACCUGCUUGUCCUGUGGCUUCCCCUGUUUUCUUGUUCUUGGUAGAACCCUGAGUCUCGGGAAAUAUUUUCAAUGUCAUCUUCACCACAUCCUCCUCAUCUUGGGAUCCUUUUUGUCUUUCCUGUUUUGAGAGAGGGUCUCAUGUAGUCCAAGCUGGCCUCAGAGUCACUAUGUAGUUGACCUUGUACUUCUGAUCGUCCUUCCUCUACCUGACAAGAGUCCCAGUACACUGCAGACGUACACUACAGUGCCCAGUUUAUGGGGUGCUGUGGAUGUAACCCAGGGCUUCCUGCAUGUUAGGCAAGCACUCUAUUAAGGAUGUUGAGUUUGUGAUCUGUUUAUUAUGCUCAGCUUUAAUGUUUAGUAUAGAAUUAAUUCUGCUUAUGUUAUUUUAAGUGUUUUGAAAGAUUUAUGGACUUUAAUGGGUCUUCCCUCAUUCCCAUUCCCUCUUUCACCCCUCCCCACUUUUCUUUCUUGAAGAGUUAAUAGUAGAUCUGUGAAGGGAGGUAAGGAAAACUCUCCUGGGAGGGGCUCUCUAGGAUAU